RNAcentral lists this long non-coding RNA (210 nucleotides) under Lathyrus oleraceus (garden pea). RNAcentral describes it as "Pisum sativum (pea) long non-coding RNA (PSAT_LNC034875)". Lineage: Eukaryota; Viridiplantae; Streptophyta; Magnoliopsida; Fabales; Fabaceae. The record is from RNAcentral.
GUGAUUACAUUAUUUGUUUUACAAAAUUAAUGCCAAUCCUAAGGUAUUAACAAUCUCCCCCUUUGGCAAAUUUUAGCUAAAACAAAUAAGCCUUACACUAGACACUACAUCCCAAUAUGGGUAUGCACUUCCUCUCUAUCAUUAUCUCCACCACCACAAACACCAAAGCUGGUGUACAUGAGGAAGUAGAUGUACAAGAAUCAGUUGCAU